UAGCAAUACGAUGGAAAGUCUAGUGGCGAACGGGUGCUUAACACGUGGGCAACCUGCCAAGAAGUGGGGGAUAGCUCGCCGAAAGGCGAAUUAAUACCGCAUGUGAUUAGAGUGGACAUCCAUUCGAAAUUAAAGUCGGGGCAACCUGACGCUUCUUGUGGGGCCCGCGGCCUAUCAGCUAGUUGGUGAGGUAACGGCUCACCAAGGCUUUGACGGGUAGCUGGUCUGAGAGGACGACCAGCCACACUGGGACUGAGACACGGCCCAGACACCUACGGGUGGCAGCAGUCGAGAAUUUUUGACAAUGGGGGAAACCCUGAUCGAGCGACGCCGCGUGGAGGAUGAAGGUCUUCGGAUUGUAAACUCCUGUCAUUGGGGAACAAUGCGUGACGCUUAACUGCCGUUGCGUUGAUAGUACCCGAAGAGGAAGAGACGGCUAACUCUGUGCCAGCAGCCGCGGUAAUACAGAGGUCUCAAGCGUUGUUCGGAUUCAUUGGGCGUAAAGGGUGCGUAGGCGGCGCGGUAAGUCGGGUGUGAAAUCUCGGAGCUUAACUCCGAAACUGCAUUCGAUACUGCCGUGCUUGAGGACUGGAGAGGAGACUGGAAUUCACGGUGUAGCA
RNAcentral lists this ribosomal RNA (620 nucleotides) under uncultured Verrucomicrobiota bacterium. RNAcentral describes it as "bacterial SSU rRNA". It matches the Rfam family "Bacterial small subunit ribosomal RNA", at positions 77 to 680 of the family's 1533-position model. The record is from RNAcentral. Lineage: Bacteria; Pseudomonadati; Verrucomicrobiota.